Molecule: long non-coding RNA, 1718 nt
Organism: Pecten maximus
Lineage: Eukaryota; Metazoa; Mollusca; Bivalvia; Pectinida; Pectinidae
Exons: 2
Source: RefSeq, a predicted model, not a curated record
AAUGAUAUUGGGAGUAAAUUAAAUGUUAAUGGUACUAUUUUUGACAAUAUAUUAUCAAAAUUAUCAGUGACUGUUAAUGAUAUUGGGAGUGAAUUAAAUGAUAAUUACUAUCAUCUUCCUAUCGCCUGUGUGGUCAUGUGGCCACUACCUGUAUUUUAUCAUCAUCAAAAAAAGACAAUAUCAUUGUGAUCACUGGUGAUCAAAGAACUUGACAAACUGAGGUUAGGAGGAUGAAAUAUAACUAACACCAUUAUACUUCACUCCAAGGAGGAUGAAAUAACUAACACCAUUAUACUUCACUCCAAGGAGGAUGAAAUAACUAACACCAUUAUACUUCACUCCAAGGAGGAUGAAAUAACUAACACCAUUAUACUUCACUCCAAGGAGGAUGAAAUAACUAACACCAUUAUACUUCACUCCAAGGAGGAUGAAAUAACUAACACCAUUAUACUUCACUCCAAGGAGGAUGAAAUAACUAACACCAUUAUACUUCACUCCAAGGAGGAUGAAAUAACUAACACCAUUAUACUUCACUCCAAGGAGGAUGAAAUAUAACUAACACCAUUAUACUUCAAUCCAAGGAGGAUGAAAUAACUAACACCAUUAUACUUCAAUCCAAGGAGGAUGAAAUAACUAACACCAUUAUACUUCACUCCAAGGAGGAUGAAAUAACUAACACCAUUAUACUUCACUCCAAGGAGGAUGAAAUAACUAACACCAUUAUACUUCACUCCUAGGAGGAUGAAAUAACUAACACCAUUAUACUUCACUCCAAGGAGGAUGAAAUAUAACUAACACCAUUAUACUUCACUCCAAGGAGGAUGAAAUAACUAACACCAUUAUACUUCACUCCAAGGAGGACGAAAUAUAACUAACACCAUUAUACUUCACUCCAAGGAGGAUGAAAUAACUAACACCAUUAUACUUCACUCCAAGGAGGAUGAAAUAACUAACACCAUCAUACUUCACUCCAAGGAGGACGAAAUAUAACUAACACCAUUAUACUUCACUCCAAGGAGGAUGAAAUAACUAACACCAUUAUACUUCACUCCAAGGAGGAUGAAAUAACUAACACCAUUAUACUUCACUCCAAGGAGGAUGAAAUAACUAACACCAUCAUACUUCACUCCAAGGAGGACGAAAUAUAACUAACACCAUUAUACUUCACUCCAUGUUGAGCAAAUGUUGUAUUGAUCAUAUAGGGCUAUAACACUGCUAAAACAUUCGUCCUUUAUUGGUGAAAAUGAACCUUAUUUCCAUGAAUGAUAUGAUAGGUGUUAAUCACAUUAUGAUGUAUGUUAAUGACUGUGGUUGUUAUCGGUUAUAUUAAAGUGUAUUGUAUGCUGUAAGUCUGUGUAAUCAACAGAGGGACUUACCUAUUUUGUAUAUAUGAUAUUAUUAACACUGAUAAUCUAUUUUGUAUGAGUGUGGCAUUAACAACACGUGUAUCAAACUAUAAAUGCUGGGCGUGUAUUCUUGGAAUGCCAGGGGUGUGUCCAUUGUUUUAUUGUAUGUUGUGCAAGUUCACAUCUGUAUUAUCAUGAAAUCUUCAAUUUCUAAGUCAGAUAAUUUACCCAAUAUUUCUACUGCUUACAUUGUUGUGAAGCUGGUUAUUUACAAGUCCCUGUGUAUCAGUGUAGUGAAUUAUAGUUUGAUGUUUGUACGCCAAAACUUUUGACUUUUACAUGUAUUGCCAUUAAAGCAAUCAUUGAAACUUG